Non-coding RNA from Delphinella strobiligena, 90 nucleotides. The record is from the annotation of a GenBank genome assembly. Lineage: Eukaryota; Fungi; Ascomycota; Dothideomycetes; Dothideales; Dothioraceae.
UCCGAUGUGGUCUAGUGGCUAGGAUUUGCCGCUCUCAUCUCGCAAGAGUGAAGCGCCGGCAAGGCCGGGGUCCAAUUCCCCGCAUCGGAA